RNAcentral lists this ribosomal RNA (379 nucleotides) under uncultured eukaryote. RNAcentral's name for it is "partial 18S ribosomal RNA". It matches the Rfam family "Eukaryotic small subunit ribosomal RNA", at positions 592 to 975 of the family's 1831-position model. The record is from RNAcentral.
CAAUAGCGCAUAUUAAAGUUGCUGCAGUUAAAAAGCUCGUAGUUGCAUUUCCGAGGCAAGGGAUUAGUCCGACCUUUGGUGGGUAUUUAAUCCUCUUGCCCCGUCCUUGAGUGGUGCUUCUUGGUAUUAAGUUAUCGAGGAGAUAGCCGCUCAUCGUUUACUGUGAGAAAAUUAGAGUGUUCAAAGCAGGCUUAUGCCGUUGAAUAUAUUAGCAUGGAAUAAUAAGAUAGGACCUCGGUACUAUUUUGUUGGUUUGAGAACCAAGGUAAUGAUGAAUAGGGACAGUUGGGGGUAUUCGUAUUCAGUUGUCAGAGGUGAAAUUCUUAGAUUUACGGAAGACGAACUACUGCGAANGNAUUUACNAAGGAUGUUUNCAUUA